This is a long non-coding RNA of Oxyura jamaicensis (ruddy duck), 513 nucleotides long. RefSeq lists it as uncharacterized. The transcript is spliced from 2 exons. The record is from RefSeq and is a predicted model, not a curated record. Lineage: Eukaryota; Metazoa; Chordata; Aves; Anseriformes; Anatidae.
UGGAAAUCCCCUGCCUGCACGGGUUCUGCGGCGAGGUGGGGAGAAGCUGAGGGUGUUCGGGCGAGGCGGGGAAAGGCUGAAGGCGUGCUCCGAAAGCAGCGCAGCAUCCCGCGACGCUUCCCGGUUGCAAAUGGCCUUCUCCUCCCCUGGGCUUUGAUGAACCUCGUGCCGCAGCGGUGCUCAGAAAUAGCGGGGAGUGGGAAAGGGUCGUCCGGCUGUAACAGCUGCCUGAUGUUGGCAUGGAGACCUCUCCUCUCCAGCUGCAAAGGGAAGCCGAGUUCAUGGGCUUAGAAGUGGCUUCUCCCACUGAGCGGAACACACUCCCGCAUUCCUGGGAGGAAUAUUAUUGGUUACUUUAAUUAGCUGGUAGCAUUGUGCUUCCCACCUGGGUGUUCUUUAUAGCUUUUCAUUACGGAGGAGCCUGGCGGUUGCGAAUGUUUACAUGUGUCUUGGCAGGUUUUUUAUGCCGUGCGUCGCAGCAAAAACUUUACAAUAAAGCAUUGUCUCCACGGA